This 269-nucleotide long non-coding RNA is filed under the name Lathyrus oleraceus (garden pea). RNAcentral's name for it is "Pisum sativum (pea) long non-coding RNA (PSAT_LNC027044)". Lineage: Eukaryota; Viridiplantae; Streptophyta; Magnoliopsida; Fabales; Fabaceae. The record is from RNAcentral.
UGUGUCCACCACCUGCAAAGUACAUGUCAAAAAGGAGAAAUAAGAAGAAUAAAAUGGGUUAAGAGAGUGAUGUGCGUGAUGAUCCUUCGUAGUGGGAGUAUGUUGAGGCCUCUCAGGGUAGUUAGUCGACGAAGAUAUCAUGUACGUAACCAACUGCAAGUCAACCGUCUAGAAAUUCUUCAAUACAUCUUUACUUAUCUCAGUAUCAUAUUUUCUUACAUGACUACAUUGAAGACAUUGUUGAUGUGGAGCCUGAUGGAAAUUGUGGU